Strigops habroptila (Kakapo) is the source of this 1577-nucleotide long non-coding RNA. The record is from Ensembl. NCBI's taxonomy places the organism in Eukaryota, Metazoa, Chordata, Aves, Psittaciformes, Psittacidae.
GGCCUCCGGCCGCAGGAAACGGAGGCGGCGGUGGGUACCCGCGGCCCCGCGCAGUGCCGCGCCUCCUCCGCCCUGCCCGCGGCCAGAGAGCGGCUGCCGGCGCACCCCGCCCCGGGACCGCGGCGGCGCCACGCGGUGAUUGGGGCGGCCUCCUGUGGGGAAUGGCGGCUUCCGGCCUCGCUCCGCUCGCAGGUCACGUAACGGCGGUGGUGCGGGCGGUAACGCGCCCCCGGAGCCGCGCCAGGCCUCGGCCGCGGAGACCUUCUCUGGUGGGAAGGAGACGCGGCCCGGCCUCCUGCCCUGCUCCUCAUGGCUGUGCGGCCCUGCAGGACCCGCCACCGUGUGCCUCGGGCGUGGAACGAGCAGGGCGCAGGCCCGUGAGUCCCUUUGUUCCCGGCUCCAGGACUGGGUGAGGAGCGACACUGGACACGCUGAAGGAUUAUGAUAAUCCUGUUCUUCCUUCAGUGUCCCGUACCAUGGCAGGUGAUGACCACUGAGCCAUGUUCUGCUGAGCCGGCUGCUCCACACUCACCCUUCAGGCCUGCGUUCUCCAGCAGAUUCAUCAAGCUGGUAAUGUAAUGACAGAGCUGUUUGGUGCCUGUAGUCCCACUCCCAAGUGUGUCCAAGCACCUCACAUUUGGCUCAGGAAAUGUGUCCUUGCAGCAGUCCAGCAAGAGAGUUGUGAAGUCCCAGUGGAGGUGAAAGCUGUUGGUGGGGCAUGGUGGGACUGCUUACAGCAGAACAUGUGCUUUCAUCAGAAUUGUUGGGUUCACUUCUCAAGGCUUAUUGGGAGGUUCAGACAUCCUCCUAGCUCUGCUCUGAUACUUGUGUAUCUUACUAUUUCAGAUACCUACUCGAAGAGUGCGGCACUUGGUUUUGGGCAAAUAAAGGUAAAACAUGUUCCAGUGGGUGGAAGUUGGACCCUGAAUCAAGGCAUACAUUUUUAAGCAAGGAGUGAAGCUUUUUCACCACUGCAGUCCCUGGCAGAGGAGCUGUGCGCUUCAUCUGCUGUUCUCUGAUACAGUCUUGCCACUGUCAGCAGGGCUCACAGGGCCACCUCCUGCCCUCUGCGCUGGUGGUUGUUGCUGGCGGAGUCACCCGUUUCUGGUGGACACUAGCUGUUGUGACUGAAAGCCAGUGCAGCUGCAGGCUGUGGCCUUAGAGGGGGUCUGGCACACUGACCAGGACAACCCUGUGUGCCCUGGAAAUCUCUGAAUUCUGGUAGACUAAGAAAUGACCCUGUACUUGCCUAGCUCAGGAUCACCAGACCGGUCUUCUUUUGAGGCUUGUGAAACACAUACCCCAGAGAAGGCAGUAAUGAUCACCAUGUAAUGCAUGUUCAGCUCCUGGUUUUAUGGUUUCUGCAAAGCCUGUUUUGGGGACAUGUUUUUAAGCUAUUUGGGGAAGAACAGAUGAGCUUUUGGCACACAGUUCUACAUCAAAUCUCAGUUGCCAGGCUGAGUUUAUUGGUAGAGACCUUGUAUAUUGCACAGGCUGCUGCCUGUGCCCGACCAUCCUCUAGAAUGGAAACUUGAACCAAUGAUUUUCAUAAUGAAUGUGCAAUAAAUCUGUGAAAA